This 440-nucleotide ribosomal RNA is filed under the name uncultured bacterium. RNAcentral's name for it is "bacterial SSU rRNA". It matches the Rfam family "Bacterial small subunit ribosomal RNA", at positions 339 to 796 of the family's 1533-position model. The record is from RNAcentral.
CUACGGGAGGCAGCAGUGGGGAAUAUUGGACAAUGGGCGAAAGCCUGAUCCAGCCAUGCCGCGUGAGUGAUGAAGGCCUUAGGGUUGUAAAGCUCUUUCGCCUGAGACGAUGAUGACGGUAUCAGGAGAAGAAGCCCCGGCUAAUUCCGUGCCAGCAGCCGCGGUAAUACGGAAGGGGCUAGCGUUGUUCGGAAUUACUGGGCGUAAAGCGCGUGCAGGCGGUUAGACAAGUGAGGCGUGAAAGCCCUGGGCUCAACCUGGGAAUUGCGCUUCAGACUGUUUGACUUGAGUUCGGGAGAGGGUGGUGGAAUUCCCAGUGUAGAGGCGAAAUUCGUAGAUAUUGGGAGGAACACCGGUGGCGAAGGCGGCCGCCUGGCCCGUAACUGACGCUAUAGCGCGAAAGCGUGGGGAGCAAACAGGAUUAGAAACCCUGGUAGUCC